GUAAGCUAAAAGUAAUGUGAGGAAAAUCAGCAGAAUUACUCUGUAGAAGGACUAUUAUUGGCUCUAAAACUCCCAGGAGUUCAUGGUCAACAUCCUCAUUUAUUUAGAGACAUGGACUGAGGCUACAGUCCUAGAAGAAUCAGACAGCUAAGAUUUAUUGGCUGACUUCAUUGUUUAAAAGCAAUACUCUCCUUAGAUUCAUACAACUUAAUUGCAUUUGCAAAGAAGAAUGUGAUGUCCUUUUCUGGUUAGCCAAACUGCUUGGGUGGCAGGACUGGGCAGAAAAGUUUGGGGAAUCCUUCAUCUUAAAUGUGGCUAUCAGUCUGACGGUAUCUCAAGUCCAUUUCUGUUACUACUUCUGUCCUUCUGAAACAUGUACUUAGGAUGGAUGAGGUCAUAACUAUUCGUUAUUGAAAAAAAGAUGUCUUCCACAAGCCUUCUGAAUGCCAAAGCUCCUGUUGUUGGAGACCUUGUCUAAGAAAGGAAAAAAUGAGCAUAUGUAAUUUCUGGGUGAGUUUACUGGCUUGUGUUCUCUUCAAAACUCCAUACAACUAUAUUUUGCAGAAGUCAAUGUUA
Molecule: long non-coding RNA, 576 nt
Filed under: Anser brachyrhynchus (Pink-footed goose)
Lineage: Eukaryota; Metazoa; Chordata; Aves; Anseriformes; Anatidae
Description: lncRNA (ENSABRG00000019871.1)
Source: RNAcentral